RNAcentral lists this long non-coding RNA (1640 nucleotides) under Penaeus monodon (black tiger shrimp). RNAcentral's name for it is "uncharacterized LOC119574317". The record is from RNAcentral. Lineage: Eukaryota; Metazoa; Arthropoda; Malacostraca; Decapoda; Penaeidae.
UUUACUAGGCUUGCUGUGCACAUCAACCAUAAUAAUUUCUGUUAUAUCCAUGGGCAUAUUCACGUGGAAGCAGACAAGAGUAAGGAAAAAAUGGAGAAGAAUGAACAUGAGGGUUUCAGGUUCAUUUCAAGAAGAUAACUGUGUGGUUGAAGAAAAAAAUGGGAUGUUCUGAGAGACACAAAGACUAGAGAAGAAGAGGAGUCUCAGAUGAGGAUGCUUAACCCGUUACUGCCGGGUCACGUGAUAGGACAUCAUAGCAAACCGCAUGGUUGGCAGGUUCAGCUUGUACACGCGGCAACACGCCAGAGCGCGUGGAGCGGGGCGUUCGGCUUAACGCAGCGGACUCCCGCGCCCACUGUCUGGCCACUGCCAGAUAUCACCAGAGCUUAAUUGCUCUCAGGGAUUUUUGACAACUGGGAAUAAUGGGUUAAAAAGCUGAAAUUAAUUCAUCAGUAAGCUUUCAAAAUGUAUGCAUUUUAUGUCUGCUUGAGUAUAUAUAAGAGGCCAUGGACAUAUAAAAAUUCUUGGAAAUCUCUCCCUCUCUCUCUAAUAAUUGUAAUUAUUAUAAUAAAUGUACAAAAUGUGAUCAUUAUGACUUCAUGAAACUGAAGUGAUUAAAGAUAUAUAAAAAUGAAAGAAAGAAAAAUAUAUAACUACUACUACUACUACUGCCCCUACCCAGUAGCAUCAAACUGCAACUAAUAACAUUUGGAUUAGACUUCCUCAAAGAAUUGUAAAAUGUACAAUUAGCAUUUGCUUUCAUAGAUAUGCUUGCAGUUACAAGUAAAAACAUGCCAUAAAACAUAUGAAUAUUCUUUGAUUUGUCUAUAUAUGUCAUUUGUUUUUUAUUGUUUAUAAUAGUAAGUGAAAUAGUGAAGGAAAAAAUAAAUAUAAUAAAGUAAAAAACUGAUACUCAUAAAUCCAAAACCCAUGUAUUCUCUUUUUCUAGCAUUACAAACCACCAUUCAUCAGAUGCUGGUGACAUACUUUUCUACUAUAUUUGUAUGAAAUAAAUGUUUACUUUUUUAAAGAAAGCAUGUUGUAUACUAUACAGUGCAGCUCAACUGCUCAUACUGCAUGGUAAAUCCACUUCACAACUAAAAUAUGAAAAUUAUGGAAUGCUGGUACAGAAAGACUUCUGUUUACAAUUUAUUUUCAGCUUCCUAUCCACUGUACAUGGUAGGUACCUGAAUGAUUUUUAUGGCCCUAUGCGUCUCCAUCUUGAAUACCAUUAUUUUGUCCUUUAUAUAGAUCAUAACUUUAAUUACAGUCACAUACUCUGAAACAUUUUGAGCAAAAAAAUAUUUUGUGGAAAUAAGUACAAUUUCUUUCCUAUGGCACAGUCAAAAAUGAUAAAAAAGUAAUGGAAAUAAAAAUAGCAAAUACAUGUAAGUAUUUUCUUCACUUUUACCAUGAGCAUUAACAUCUAAGUUUAAAAGAUAAUACAGAAAUGUAUGAAUGUACUUUUAUAUACAUGUAUAUACAUAUAUGUGUGUGCAGGUAUGCAAGCAUACAUGUACAGGUAUUUAUAUACAUAUGCUUUAAAUACAUAUGUGAACACACUUACAAACACAGCCCCAUACAUCCAUAUGCAACAACUUACAAACACCCCAACAUCCUGACAAGCAUAUGCACACAAG